CGGGUCGAUGCUGAGCGAGGAGGUGUCGGCGGCGGAGGACCCGGCGCUGUACCUGCACGUCGCGCUCACCGCCACCUUCUUCGCCGGCGUGUUCCAGGCGCUGCUGGGGGUCUUGAGGCUGGGGUUCAUCGUGGACUUCCUGUCGCACGCCACCAUCGUCGGGUUCAUGGGCGGCGCCGCCACCGUGGUGUGCCUGCAGCAGCUCAAGG
This 209-nucleotide unclassified non-coding RNA is filed under the name Hevea brasiliensis (rubber tree). Lineage: Eukaryota; Viridiplantae; Streptophyta; Magnoliopsida; Malpighiales; Euphorbiaceae. The record is from RNAcentral.